AAUACAUGCAAGUCGAACGGAUCCUUCGGGAUUAGUGGCGGACGGGUGAGUAACACGUGGGAACGUGCCCUUUGGUUCGGAACAACUCAGGGAAACUUGAGCUAAUACCGAAUGUGCCCUACGGGGGAAAGAUUUAUCGCCAUUGGAGCGGCCCGCGUCUGAUUAGCUAGUUGGUGAGGUAAAGGCUCACCAAGGCUACGAUCAGUAGCUGGUCUGAGAGGAUGAUCAGCCACAUGGGACUGAGACACGGCCCAGACUCCUACGGGAGGCAGCAGUAGGGAAUCUUGCGCAAUGGGCGAAAGCCUGACGCAGCCAUGCCGCGUGAAUGAUGAAGGUCUUAGGAUUGCAAAAUUCUUUCAGCGGGGACGAUAAUGACGGUACCCGCAGAAGAAGCCCCGGCU
Molecule: ribosomal RNA, 401 nt
Filed under: grassland soil clone sl1_111
Lineage: Bacteria
Description: bacterial SSU rRNA
Rfam family: Bacterial small subunit ribosomal RNA
Source: RNAcentral